ACGGCACCGACGUGUCCUGCACGGUGCACGUCGAGGCGCCCUCCACGGCGGCGCCGCUCCUCGGGCCCAGGCCCGGCGACGGCGCCGUCCCCGCCCCGCCUUUGCCGGUAAUACUCUUCAAUGUGCUCUUCUGGACCAUCUUCGCCUGGAUCGUCUACUCGUACUGGUUCUGAUUGGAGCGGACGCAUGGAAGUAAGACGAGCUGCCUGCAAUGCCAUUUACAGACUGCAUUUGCAAAUAAUGAUAGAGUUACUGCUGGAAUAGGCGAGUGAAAGAACAACCGCAAACGAUAUUUCUGGAUGUACUGCCUCGAUGAUAUGAAUUUUUAAGCUACACCGUUCUCUUGUUCA
Long non-coding RNA from Panicum hallii, 350 nucleotides. RefSeq lists it as uncharacterized. NCBI's taxonomy places the organism in Eukaryota, Viridiplantae, Streptophyta, Magnoliopsida, Poales, Poaceae. The record is from RefSeq and is a predicted model, not a curated record. The transcript is spliced from 2 exons.